AGCUGGGCGGGCGUGCUAUACAUGCAGUCGACGCUUCUUUCCUCCCGAGUGCUUGCACUCAAUUGGAAAGAGGAGUGGCGGACGGGUGAGUAACACGUGGGUAACCUACCCAUCAGAGGGGGAUAACACUUGGAAACAGGUGCUAAUACCGCAUAACAGUUUAUGCCGCAUGGCAUAAGAGUGAAAGGCGCUUUCGGGUGUCGCUGAUGGAUGGACCCGCGGUGCAUUAGCUAGUUGGUGAGGUAACGGCUCACCAAGGCCACGAUGCAUAGCCGACCUGAGAGGGUGAUCGGCCACACUGGGACUGAGACACGGCCCAGACUCCUACGGGAGGCAGCAGUAGGGAAUCUUCGGCAAUGGACGAAAGUCUGACCGAGCAACGCCGCGUGAGUGAAGAAGGUUUUCGGAUCGUAAAACUCUGUUGUUAGAGAAGAACAAGGACGUUAGUAACUGAACGUCCCCUGACGGUAUCUAACCAGAAAGCCACGGCUAACUACGUGCCAGCAGCCGCGGUAAUACGUAGGUGGCAAGCGUUGUCCGGAUUUAUUGGGCGUAAAGCGAGCGCAGGCGGUUUCUUAAGUCUGAUGUGAAAGCCCCCGGCUCAACCGGGGAGGGUCAUUGGAAACUGGGAGACUUGAGUGCAGAAGAGGAGAGUGGAAUUCCAUGUGUAGCGGUGAAAUGCGUAGAUAUAUGGAGGAACACCAGUGGCGAAGGCGGCUCUCUGGUCUGUAACUGACGCUGAGGCUCGAAAGCGUGGGGAGCAAACAGGAUUAGAUACCCUGGUAGUCCACGCCGUAAACGAUGAGUGCUAAGUGUUGGAGGGUUUCCGCCCUUCAGUGCUGCAGCAAACGCAUUAAGCACUCCGCCUGGGGAGUACGACCGCAAGGGUGAACUCAAAGGAAUGACGGGGGCCCGCMCAAGCGGUGGAGCAUGUGGUUAAUUCGAAGCAACGCGAGACUACAGGUCUUGACAUCCUUUGACCACUCUAGAGAUAGAGCUUCCUCCGGGACAAGUGACUGUGGUGCAUGGUGUCGUCAGCUCGUGUUCGKGAGAAAUGKUU
Molecule: ribosomal RNA, 1060 nt
Filed under: Enterococcus faecalis
Lineage: Bacteria; Bacillati; Bacillota; Bacilli; Lactobacillales; Enterococcaceae
Description: bacterial SSU rRNA
Source: RNAcentral